RNAcentral lists this non-coding RNA (22 nucleotides) under Arabidopsis thaliana (thale cress). The record is from RNAcentral. Lineage: Eukaryota; Viridiplantae; Streptophyta; Magnoliopsida; Brassicales; Brassicaceae.
UUGGUGAAUCUAUGGAUGCUGC